Molecule: ribosomal RNA, 455 nt
Filed under: Streptococcus sp. oral taxon 431
Lineage: Bacteria; Bacillati; Bacillota; Bacilli; Lactobacillales; Streptococcaceae
Description: bacterial SSU rRNA
Rfam family: Bacterial small subunit ribosomal RNA
Source: RNAcentral
GACGAACGCUGGCGGCGUGCCUAAUACAUGCAAGUAGAACGCUGAAGGAGGAGCUUGCUUCUCCGGAUGAGUUGCGAACGGGUGAGUAACGCGUAGGUAACCUGCCUGGUAGCGGGGGAUAACUAUUGGAAACGAUAGCUAAUACCGCAUAACAGUAGAUAUUGCAUGAUAUCUGCUUGAAAGGUGCAAUUGCAUCACUACCAGAUGGACCUGCGUUGUAUUAGCUAGUUGGUGAGGUAACGGCUCACCAAGGCGACGAUACAUAGCCGACCUGAGAGGGUGAUCGGCCACACUGGGACUGAGACACGGCCCAGACUCCUACGGGAGGCAGCAGUAGGGAAUCUUCGGCAAUGGACGGAAGUCUGACCGAGCAACGCCGCGUGAGUGAAGAAGGUUUUCGGAUCGUAGAGCUCUGUUGUAAGAGAAGAACGAGUGUGAGAGUGGAAAGUUCACAC